Molecule: ribosomal RNA, 253 nt
Filed under: uncultured bacterium
Lineage: Bacteria
Description: partial 16S ribosomal RNA
Rfam family: Bacterial small subunit ribosomal RNA
Source: RNAcentral
UACGUAGGGCGCAAGCGUUGUCCGGAAUUAUUGGGCGUAAAGAGCUCGUAGGCGGUUUGUCGCGUCUGCUGUGAAAACCUAAGGCUCAACCUUGGGCUUGCAGUGGGUACGGGCAGACUAGAGUGCAGUAGGGGUGACUGGAAUUCCUGGUGUAGCGGUGGAAUGCGCAGAUAUCAGGAGGAACACCGAUGGCGAAGGCAGGUCACUGGGCCGCAACUGACGCUGAGGAGCGAAAGCAUGGGGAGCGAACAGG